GAUGAACGCUGGCGGUAUGCUUAACACAUGCAAGUCGAACGGACUCUUCGGAGUUAGUGGCGGGCGGGUGAGUAACGCGUGAGAAUCUGGCUUUGGGUUCGGGACAACCACUGGAAACGGUGGCUAAUACCGGAUGUGCCGAGAGGUAAAAGAGAAAUUGCCUGAAGAUGAGCUCGCGUCUGAUUAGCUAGUUGGUGAGGUAAAGGCUCACCAAGGCAGCGAUCAGUAGCUGGUCUGAGAGGAUGACCAGCCACACUGGGACUGAGACACGGCCCAGACUCCUACGGGAGGCAGCAGUGGGGAAUUUUCCGCAAUGGGCGAAAGCCUGACGGAGCAAUACCGCGUGAGGGAAGAAGGCUCUUGGGUUGUAAACCUCUUUUCUUAGGGAAGAACAAAAUGACGGUACCUAAGGAAUCAGCAUCGGCUAACUCCGU
RNAcentral lists this ribosomal RNA (434 nucleotides) under uncultured bacterium. RNAcentral describes it as "partial 16S ribosomal RNA". It matches the Rfam family "Bacterial small subunit ribosomal RNA", at positions 28 to 506 of the family's 1533-position model. The record is from RNAcentral.